RNAcentral lists this transfer RNA (73 nucleotides) under Eospalax smithii (Smith's zokor). RNAcentral describes it as "tRNA-Asn". Lineage: Eukaryota; Metazoa; Chordata; Mammalia; Rodentia; Spalacidae. The record is from RNAcentral.
UAGAUUGAAGCCAGUUGUUUAGGGUAUUUAGCUGUUAACUAAAUUUUCGUGGGGUUGGAACCCACCGGUCUAG